UAACCCUGCUUCCAGAGGAGUCGCACAGUCAGGUGAGUCAUGAGGCAGACAGUAACCCUGCUUCCAGAGGAGUCCCACAGUCAGGUGAGUCAUGAGGCAGACAGUAACCCUGCUUCCAGAGGAGUCCCACAGUCAGGUGAGUCAUGAGGCAGACAGUAACCCUGCUUCCAGAGGAGUCCCACAGUCAGGUGAGUCAUGAGGCAGACAGUAACCCUGCUUCCAGAGGAGUCGCACAGUCAGGUGAGUCAUGAGGCAGACAGUAACCCUGCUUCCAGAGGAGUCCCACAGUCAGGUGAGUCAUGAGGCAGACAGUAACCCUGCUUCCAGAGGAGUCACACAGUCAGGUGAGUCAUGAGGCAGACAGUAACCCUGCUUCCAGAGGAGUCCCACAGUCAGGUGAGUCAUGAGGCAGACAGUAACCCUGCUUCCAGAGGAGUCCCACAGUCAGGUGAGUCAUGAGGCAGACAGUAACCCUGCUUCCAGAGGAGUCCCACAGUCAGGUGAGUCAUGAGGCAGACAGUAACCCUGCUUCCAGAGGAGUCCCACAGUCAGGUGAGUCAUGAGGCAGACAGUAACCCUGCUUCCAGAGGAGUCCCACAGUCAGGUGAGUCAUGAGGCAGACAGUAACCCUGCUUCCAGAGGAGUCGCACAGUCAGGUGAGUCAUGAGGCAGACAGUAACCCUGCUUCCAGAGGAGUCCCACAGUCAGGUGAGUCAUGAGGCAGACAGUAACCCUGCUUCCAGAGGAGUCGCACAGUCAGGUGAGUCAUGAGGCAGACAGUAACCCUGCUUCCAGAGGAGUCCCACAGUCAGGUGAGUCAUGAUGCAAACAGUAACCCUGCUUCCAGAGGAGUCGCACAGUCAGGUGAGUCAUGAGGCAGACAGUAACCCUGCUUCCAGAGGAGUCCCACAGUCAGGUGAGUCAUGAGGCAAGGUAGUUGAAAAGGUCUGCAUUCUUAGAAUGAAAGUGAAAUAUAAAACAAAAUGUUUAUUCCAUUUGGACUAAAACAAAUCUAAGAGUCCAGACCUUCUCUUUUUCUACUACUGACUAUUUCAGAUCUAUGCACCAACUAUUUAGGUUUUUACUUACUUCAUUACUUACUUACUUCAUUAGGUCGACAAGAUAUUACUGCAUAAACACGAGGGUGGGUGUGUAAACUAAACCACUUGCUCAAUUCAUGACUCCAGUUUGUAGCCCUCUAGUCUUUUAAAGAAUCUGUUGUGUUUGGACUUGGCUGAGGAAACUUUGAGGAAAGUCCAAGGUGUGCAGGCAUUUGUUCCAGCCCAGCACUAGAUUCCAUUUGACCAAUAAUGUGUGUGU
Molecule: long non-coding RNA, 1320 nt
Organism: Oncorhynchus keta (chum salmon)
Lineage: Eukaryota; Metazoa; Chordata; Actinopteri; Salmoniformes; Salmonidae
Exons: 3
Source: RefSeq, a predicted model, not a curated record